GAAGAAGGCUGGCGGCGUGCCUAACACAUGCAAGUCGAGCGACGAACCAGGGCGUGCGCUGGGGCAGAGCAGCUAACGGGUGAGUAACACGUGGGUAACCUACCCCGAUAACCGGGACAGCCCGAGGAAACUCGGGCUAAUUCCUAACGGGCUCACUGCGGGUCGGUUCAGUGCGUGAAGGAAGCGUCGUCCGCCGCGGCAGGAGGUGCCCGCGGCUCAGUAGUUUGGUGGGGAGCUAACGGCUCACCAAGACCGCGAGUGGUAGCUGUGCUCAGGGGACGAUCAGCCACACUGGGAGUGAGCCACGGCCCCGAGUCCUACGAGACGCAGCAGUGGGGAAUCUUGCGCAGUGCGCGAAAGCGUGACGCAGCAGCGCCGCGUCGGGGACGACGGCGUCCGGGUUGUAACCCCGUCUCAGGAGGGACGAAGGUUCGGCAGUGAAUAGGAGUCCGGACUGACGGUACCUGCACAAGAAGCCCCGGCUAACUACGUG
RNAcentral lists this ribosomal RNA (493 nucleotides) under uncultured bacterium. RNAcentral describes it as "partial 16S ribosomal RNA". It matches the Rfam family "Bacterial small subunit ribosomal RNA", at positions 31 to 507 of the family's 1533-position model. The record is from RNAcentral.